RNAcentral lists this ribosomal RNA (495 nucleotides) under Coxiella sp. (in: g-proteobacteria). Its description in RNAcentral is "bacterial SSU rRNA". It matches the Rfam family "Bacterial small subunit ribosomal RNA", at positions 449 to 944 of the family's 1533-position model. The record is from RNAcentral. Lineage: Bacteria; Pseudomonadati; Pseudomonadota; Gammaproteobacteria; Legionellales; Coxiellaceae.
AAGGGUAACAUACUUGAGCGUUGACGUUACCUACAGAAGAAGCACUGGCUAACUCUGUGCCAGCAGCCGCGGUAAUACAGAGAGUGCAAGCGUUAAUCGGAAUCACUGGGCGUAAAGCGCGCGUAGGUGGAUAUUUAAGUCGGAUGUGAAAGCCCUAGGCUUAACCUAGGAACUGCACUCGAUACUGGGUAUCUCGAGUAUGGUAGAGGGAAGUGGAAUUUCCGGUGUAGCGGUGAAAUGCGUAGAUAUCGGAAAGAACACCAGUGGCGAAGGCGGCUUCCUGGACCAAUACUGACACUGAGGCGCGAAAGCGUGGGGAGCAAACAGGAUUAGAGACCCUGGUAGUCCACGCUGUCAACGAUGAGAACUAGCUGUUGGAGAGUUUACUUUCUAGUAGCGAAGCUAACGCGUUAAGUUCUCCGCCUGGGGAGUACGGCCGCAAGGUUAAAACUCAAAGAAAUUGACGGGGGCCCGCACAAGCGGUGGAGCAUGUGG